CGCCAAACAGCUAGCCCGCCCCACUAACACCAUCACAAACAUAUAACUACACCCUAAAUUACUUACAAGUAACCAAUAAACCAUUCUUCCCCUUUAGUAUGGGAGACAGAAAAAG
This 115-nucleotide ribosomal RNA is filed under the name Cheilopogon doederleinii. RNAcentral's name for it is "partial 16S ribosomal RNA". The record is from RNAcentral. Lineage: Eukaryota; Metazoa; Chordata; Actinopteri; Beloniformes; Exocoetidae.